GAUUAAGAACGCAGCGAAAUGCGAUAAGUAAUGUGAAUUGCAGAAUUCAGUGAAUCAUCGAAUCUUUGAACGCACAUUGCGCCCGCCAGUAUUCUGGCGGGCAUGCCUGUCUGAGCGUCAUUUCAACCCUCAUGCCCCUAGGGCGUGGUGUUGGGGAUCGGCCAAAGCCCGCGAGGGACGGCCGGCCCCUAAAUCUAGUGGCGGACCCGUCGUGGCCUCCUCUGCGAAGUAGUGAUAUUCCGCAUCGGAGAGCGAUGAGCCCCUGCCGUUAAACCCCCAACUUUCCAAGGUUGACCUCAGAUCAGGUAGGAAUACCCGCUGAACUUAAGCAUAUCAAUAAGCGGAGGA
RNAcentral lists this unclassified non-coding RNA (348 nucleotides) under soil metagenome. RNAcentral describes it as "partial contains 5.8S ribosomal RNA, internal transcribed spacer 2, and large subunit ribosomal RNA". The stretch from base 1 to 120 matches the Rfam family "5.8S ribosomal RNA", at positions 35 to 154 of the family's 154-position model. The record is from RNAcentral.